Small nucleolar RNA from Juglans regia (Persian walnut), 106 nucleotides. NCBI's taxonomy places the organism in Eukaryota, Viridiplantae, Streptophyta, Magnoliopsida, Fagales, Juglandaceae. The record is from RefSeq and is a predicted model, not a curated record.
AAUUCAUGUUGAGGGCAACGUCGAAUCAAAUCUUUAUAUCUUUCCCAUGCUUCAUAGAGUGACUUGAAAUCAUUUUGCUUGAAUUGAACAAUCUCACUCCUAAGUU